CGUGUAGGCGGGCUGGAAAGUUGGGGGUGAAAUCCCGAGGCUCAACCUCGGAACUGCCUCCAAAACUUCCAGCCUGGACUCAAGCAGAGGCAAGUGGAAUUGCGAGUGUAGAGGUGAAAUUCGUAGAUAUUCGCAGGAACACCAGUGGCGAAGGCGACUUGCUGGGCUUGUAGUGACGCUGAGACGCGAAAGCGUGGGGAGCAAACA
This 207-nucleotide ribosomal RNA is filed under the name uncultured bacterium. RNAcentral's name for it is "partial 16S ribosomal RNA". It matches the Rfam family "Bacterial small subunit ribosomal RNA", at positions 568 to 774 of the family's 1533-position model. The record is from RNAcentral.